GACGAACGCUGGCGGCGUGCUUAACACAUGCAAGUCGAACGGAAAGGCCCUGCUUUUGUGGGGUGCUCGAGUGGCGAACGGGUGAGUAACACGUGAGUAACCUGCCCUUGACUUUGGGAUAACUUCAGGAAACUGGGGCUAAUACCGGAUAGGAGCUCCUGCUGCAUGGUGGGGGUUGGAAAGUUUCGGCGGUUGGGGAUGGACUCGCGGGUUAUCAGCUUGUUGGUGGGGUAGUGGCUUACCAAGGCUUUGACGGGUAGCCGGCCUGAGAGGGUGACCGGCGAAAUUGGGACUGAGAUACGGCCCAGAAUCCUACGGGAGGAAGCAGUGGGGAAUAUUGCACAAUGGGAGGAAGCCUGAUGCAGCAACGCAGCGUGCGGGAUGACGGCCUUCGGGUUGUAAACCGCUUUCGCCUGUGACGAAGCGUGAGUGACGGUAAUGGGUAAAGAAGCACCGGCUAACUACGUG
Molecule: ribosomal RNA, 468 nt
Filed under: uncultured bacterium
Lineage: Bacteria
Description: partial 16S ribosomal RNA
Rfam family: Bacterial small subunit ribosomal RNA
Source: RNAcentral